GGAGAGGUGCGAGAGUGGUUGAAUCGGGCGGUCUCGAAAACCGUUGAACCCGAAAGGGUUCCGUGGGUUCGAAUCCCACCCUCUCCG
Molecule: transfer RNA, 87 nt
Filed under: Acidobacteriota bacterium
Lineage: Bacteria; Pseudomonadati; Acidobacteriota
Description: tRNA-Ser
Rfam family: tRNA
About the family: Transfer RNA (tRNA) molecules are approximately 80 nucleotides in length. Their secondary structure includes four short double-helical elements and three loops (D, anti-codon, and T loops).
Source: RNAcentral